UACGAAGGGGGCUAGCGUUGCUCGGAAUCACUGGGCGUAAAGCGCACGUAGGCGGAUUUUUAAGUCAGGGGUGAAAUCCUGGAGCUCAACUCCAGAACUGCCUUUGAUACUGGGAAUCUCGAGUCCGGGAGAGGCGAGUGGAACUGCGAGUGUAGAGGUGAAAUUCGUAGAUAUUCGCAAGAACACCAGUGGCGAAGGCGGCUCACUGGCCCGGUACUGACGCUGAGGUGCGAAAGUGUGGGGAGCAAACAGG
This 253-nucleotide ribosomal RNA is filed under the name uncultured bacterium. RNAcentral describes it as "partial 16S ribosomal RNA". It matches the Rfam family "Bacterial small subunit ribosomal RNA", at positions 524 to 776 of the family's 1533-position model. The record is from RNAcentral.